RNAcentral lists this ribosomal RNA (602 nucleotides) under gamma proteobacterium enrichment culture clone WIP6m4D. RNAcentral describes it as "bacterial SSU rRNA". It matches the Rfam family "Bacterial small subunit ribosomal RNA", at positions 132 to 730 of the family's 1533-position model. The record is from RNAcentral. Lineage: Bacteria; Pseudomonadati; Pseudomonadota; Gammaproteobacteria.
UUCUGUGGGGGAUAACCCGGGGAAACUCGGGCUAAUACCGCAUACGCCUUACAGGGAAAGCGGGGGACCUUCGGGCCUCGUGCAGAAAGAUGAGCCUGCGUCCUAUCAGGUAGUUGGUGAGGUAAUGGCUCACCAAGCCGACGACGGGUAGCUGGUCUGAGAGGACGACCAGCCACACUGGGACUGAGACACGGCCCAGACUCCUACGGGAGGCAGCAGUGGGGAAUAUUGGACAAUGGGGGCAACCCUGAUCCAGCAAUGCCGCGUGUGUGAAGAAGGCCUUCGGGUUGUAAAGCACUUUUAGCAGGAAAGAAAAGUCGUGCGCUAAUACCGCAUGAUUUUGACGUUACUUGCAGAAAAAGCACCGGCUAACUCCGUGCCAGCAGCCGCGGUAAUACGGAAGGUGCAAGCGUUAAUCGGAAUUACUGGGCGUAAAGCGCGCGUAGGCGGCUUGUCAAGUCGGAUGUGAAAUCCCCGAGCUCAACUUGGGAACUGCAUUCGAUACUGGCUCGCUAGAGUGUGGUAGAGGGAAGUGGAAUUCCAGGUGUAGCGGUGAAAUGCGUANAUAUCUGGGGGAACAUCAGUGGCGAAGGCGGCUUCCU